GACGAACGCUGGCGGCGUGCUUAACACAUGCAAGUCGAACGGAAAGGCCCUGCUUUUGUGGGUUGCUCGAUUGCCGAACGGGUGAGUAAAACGUGAGUAACAUGCCCUUGUCUUUGGGAUAACUUCAGGAAACUGGGGCUCUUAUCGGAUAGGAGAUCCUGAUGCAUGUUGGGGGUUGGAAAGUUUCGGCGGUUGGGGAUGGACUGGCUGCUUAUGCGCUUGAUGGGGAGGUAGUGGCUUUCCAAGCGUUUGACGGGUAGGCGGCCUUGGAGGGGGACCGGCCACAAUGGGCCUGAGAUACGGCCCAGACGCCUACGGGACGCAGCAGUGGGGAGUAUGGCAGAAUGGGCGGAAGCCAGAUGCAGCAACGCCGCGUGCGGGAUGACGGCCUUCGGGUGGUAAACCGCUUUCGCCGGUGACGAAGAGUGAGUGACGGUAAUGGGUAAAGAAGCACCGGCUAACUACGUG
This 468-nucleotide ribosomal RNA is filed under the name uncultured bacterium. RNAcentral's name for it is "partial 16S ribosomal RNA". It matches the Rfam family "Bacterial small subunit ribosomal RNA", at positions 28 to 507 of the family's 1533-position model. The record is from RNAcentral.